CCUACGGGAGGCAGCAGUGGGGAAUAUUGGACAAUGGGCGCAAGCCUGAUCCAGCAAUACCGCGUGUGUGAAGAAGGCCUGAGGGUUGUAAAGCACUUUCAAUAGGGAGGAAAAAGCGUUGGUUAAUAGCUGAUGCCUGACAUACC
Molecule: ribosomal RNA, 146 nt
Filed under: uncultured bacterium
Lineage: Bacteria
Description: partial 16S ribosomal RNA
Rfam family: Bacterial small subunit ribosomal RNA
Source: RNAcentral